CUGUUUUAUAAAAUAUAAUUUAUUCUAUACACAUAUUAAAAUUAAUUUUUCUAUUUUUUGAAUUUAAAAGCAAAUAUUAACGAGCCAACUGUUUCGAAUUGUGAAUUAGGAAAGUAUUUGACUUUGAUCAUCGAGAUUAUAGGACUUCGAUAAAGGGAUAUCAACCGGCAAGUUACGCAAAAAAAAAAGUCGAGAUGUGGAAAUAAAAAGCAUUGGAACGGUUGGCAUCUGUUUCACGCGCAUGCUAGCCUCGCUCAUGACGUCAGAGGGUGAAAAAUCAAUCCACCCUUGUACAGUGCGGCAAGAUAGGAUUGUAUAUCUGGCGGCCACAGUCGCCAUCAUUAAAUUAACCGAAUUAAUUGUACUUGUCUAAUCGAUCGCCCUUGGGCCAAUUUUCAGUUUUAGAAUUCUAACGAUCGAUGAUGUUUCGGAGAUUUUUCUUGGAUUUGUUAGAAUGGAUUUUUAAAAGGAAGAUGCAGAGAUGAUUACAUAUUGAAAUAUUUGACAGUAUAAAGAAUUUAUUGAAUGUCGCAAAGAGAUGAUGAUAGAGAAUCUUAAUGUAGGAAAAAUGACUGCUUAGAAAAGAAAAAAGAAGAAGUGGAUAACUUAAUUAUUAUUCAAUGCAACGUGGCAAAAAGAUUUCCAAGUAUGAAGGCUUGAAAUAGUAUUUUUACAUUUGUAAAUUCAUUUUAUGAAAGUUCUGCAAUGAAAUUGGCAAUGAGUCUGGGAACUAUGAUUACGUAAUAGUUAUGAAUGAAUUUCAUUGUAAUAUUGAAGUUAUUUUGGGAAGCAAUAUUAAAGCUUCAAGAAUCCAAAUUACUUUUGAAACUAUACUAUACUUUGAAGAUUAUAAUAUUUAAAUUGGUUUAUAGACUAUAAUUGAAUUUUCAUUUUUUGAAAAUUUAUUUUGAAACUUGUUUAUUUGAUUUGCUUCAAGAAAUUGCUUGUAAUAUUAUAAAAUUGAAAUUAAAAUUGAAAACGACUGUUGCAUAGCUCGUUAAGACAUACAUCCAUGUAAUUGGAAUAAUGCUUAUAUAAUGCAUUACUUCGAAAACAUAAGAAAAAUUUUAGCAUAAUGCAUAAAUUUCAAAUUGCGUGAUAUAGAAGGCUUGAAAAUGACCACGAAAAUAUAUUCCAGUGAAUUUUAUUAAACGCUGAAUGCUUUAUUCCAUUUCAAUGCAUUUUUUAUUCAUCGCAAUGCACCUUUUGCGCAGUAAUUGAAUUGAAACGCUGACGUCGAAUGACUUCGAGAUGUUGCGCCUUCUUGCAUCUUUUCAUGUAUUUUAUAUUUUCUAUUUGUUAGAAGGAAUAA
Apis dorsata (giant honeybee) is the source of this 1312-nucleotide long non-coding RNA. RefSeq lists it as uncharacterized. The transcript has 2 exons. NCBI's taxonomy places the organism in Eukaryota, Metazoa, Arthropoda, Insecta, Hymenoptera, Apidae. The record is from RefSeq and is a predicted model, not a curated record.